UUCUGGGCUACAGUGGACUAUGUUGAGCGGGUGUCCACGCUAAGUUCGGUAUCGAUAUGGUGCUCCUAGUGGAGCUUGGGACUACCAGGUUGUCUAAGGAGGGGUGAACCGGCCCAGGUCGGAGACGGAGCAGGUCAAAUCCCAUGUGCCGAUCAGUAGUGGGAUCGCGCCUGUGAAUAGACACUGCAGUGCAG
Molecule: signal recognition particle RNA, 194 nt
Filed under: Danio rerio (zebrafish)
Lineage: Eukaryota; Metazoa; Chordata; Actinopteri; Cypriniformes; Danionidae
Description: Metazoan signal recognition particle RNA
Rfam family: Metazoan signal recognition particle RNA
About the family: The signal recognition particle (SRP) is a universally conserved ribonucleoprotein. It is involved in the co-translational targeting of proteins to membranes. The eukaryotic SRP consists of a 300-nucleotide 7S RNA and six proteins: SRPs 72, 68, 54, 19, 14, and 9.
Source: Rfam by way of RNAcentral